Molecule: transfer RNA, 17 nt
Filed under: Erica carnea
Lineage: Eukaryota; Viridiplantae; Streptophyta; Magnoliopsida; Ericales; Ericaceae
Also listed under: 28 other names
Description: partial tRNA-Phe
Source: RNAcentral
UCAGGAUAGCUCAGUCC